This 220-nucleotide unclassified non-coding RNA is filed under the name Glomus sp. Its description in RNAcentral is "partial contains 5.8S ribosomal RNA and internal transcribed spacer 2". The stretch from base 1 to 65 matches the Rfam family "5.8S ribosomal RNA", at positions 84 to 154 of the family's 154-position model. Lineage: Eukaryota; Fungi; Glomeromycota; Glomeromycetes; Glomerales; Glomeraceae. The record is from RNAcentral.
GUGAAUCAUCAAAUUUUUGAACGCAAAUUGCACUCUCUUCGGAGAGUAUGCCUGUUUGUGUGUCAGCCUAAAAUAAAAUCGACAUAGUCUCUUUGUUGCGGUUACAUUCGUCGGAAAUUGUGUCAUCUUUAUUCUUUUGGUUUUAAUCGGCUUAAAAUUUUCUUUACUAUUCCGCUCGCGUUUCUAUGAUUUACUUCUUAUUCGUGUUAUAUAUCGAUCG